CCUACGGGAGGCAGCAGUGAGGAAUAUUGGUCAAUGGACGAGAGUCUGAACCAGCCAAGUAGCGUGAAGGAUGACUGCCCUAUGGGUUGUAAACUUCUUUUAUAUGGGAAUAAAACGUUCCACGUGUGGGAUUUUGUAUGUACCAUAUGACUAAGGAUCGGCUAACUCCGUGCCAGCAGCCGCGGUAAUACGGAGGAUCCGAGCGUUAUCCGGAUUUAUUGGGUUUAAAGGGAGCGUAGGUGGAUUGUUAAGUCAGUUGUGAAAGUUUGCGGCUCAACCGUAAAAUUGCAGUUGAAACUGGCAGUCGUGAGUACAGUAGAGGUGGGCGGAAUUCGUGGUGUAGCGGUGAAAUGCUUAGAUAUCACGAAGAACUCCGAUUGCGAAGGCAGCUCACUGGACUGCAACUGACACUGAGGCUCGAAAGUGUGGGUAUCAAACAGGAUUAGAUACCCUUGUAGUC
This 460-nucleotide ribosomal RNA is filed under the name uncultured bacterium. Its description in RNAcentral is "partial 16S ribosomal RNA". It matches the Rfam family "Bacterial small subunit ribosomal RNA", at positions 338 to 795 of the family's 1533-position model. The record is from RNAcentral.